UAGAGAGAGAGAGAGAGAGAAUUAGGCUACUAUACUAUCUAUAAUAGCGGAUCUCCGGUACUAUAGUCUUAUUUUCGAUCUUAGGAUGUUCAAAUUAACGAUCCACACCGUUAAAUAUGAUUUAGGGUAUAUGAAGUUUAUAGGAAUAAAAUUUUAGUUUUCUUCGACAUCAUUUACUUAAUAAAUAAAUUAUGUCAAAAUAGACGGUGGAAAUUGAAUAAUUUUUAAAAUUUGAGCAUAGGACUUUUAAAUUCAAGAUCAAGAAUGUUAACCUUAAUCUAGAUAGUUUAAAGUAUUUUUUAUCAAAAUUUGAAGAAAUUUAGAUUCUUCUCUACCGUUAAACUCCAAACUCGCCAUAGUAGCCAUUGAAAAUUGACAAUUUUGAAAUGGUUUGAUCAUAAAGUAAACUAUGUUGAAAAAAUAUAAAAUUUUAUUUCUAACAACUUUAAAUACCCUAAAUCAGUUUUAACUGUGUGGAUCGAUAAUUUGAACACCCUAAAAUCGAAAACGGGACUAUAGUACCUGAGCCCCGGUACCAUAAAUAGUAUAGGAGACUAGCUCUCUCUCUCUCUCUCUCUAUAUCUAUAUCUAUAUUAUAUAUAAAAGCGUAUAGGAAUUCCGACAAUGAUAGACGGAAUCUAAAAAAUAAUAAAAUAAUAUUCCCUACAAAUGGGUUUGAUUAAUUGUUAAAAAUAUCUCAAAUAAAAAUGAACGGUUAUGAUCAAUCUAUUAGAUCUCUACUAUGUAUAAAAAUCUAUUCCUUAAAAAAUAUCUCAAAUAAAAAUAAACGGUUAUGAUCAAUUUGUUAAAAAUAGCAUUCCUAUUCAUCUAUUUUACAUUAAACUUAAAAUUUGAGUUUAAAUUAUAAAUUAAAUUUAAUUUGUACCAAAUUUGAAUCAACAAUUAAUUUUUUUAUUACAGUGGAUCAAAAUUAAAUUUUAAAUUUUAAAGUAAAUGUGAAUUAAAUUUUGAUGCUUUUAGUUUAAAAUACAUAUUUAAAUUUAAUUCAUCAAAAAUAAAAAAGUAUAUAAAAAUGUUCAAUGUAUAUAAAAAAAAGAACAUGGUAGGAUAUUAUAAAUAUUUUCUAAUAAAAUAUAACAUAUUAAUUUAUAAAUAUAAUUUUUAUUGUAAAAUUUUGGAUAUAUAUAAUGUACAAAUUUAUAUUGAUUUGAAAUAAAUUAUAAUAAUUGUUACGUGCAUUUGCACGUACAUUCAACUAGUAUAUAUAUAUAUAUAUAUAUAUAUAUAUAUAUAUAUAUAUAUAUAUAUAUAUAUAUAUAUAUAUAUAUAUAAUGAAAAAAAAAAAAUUAAAAAAACGUUUGUUUAUCGAUGCAAAAAAUCAAAGGUAAGUUUAUCUCCUUUAGUAAAUAUUUCGAACACAAUUUUUUUCCUCUAUAUCGAGGGUAAUCCAGCAUCUCAUAUAUGAAAUAAUAAAAUUUCAUAAAUACAUUUAUCAACCACAAAUAACUAAACAAUAUUUAUAGUUAUUAUACUUUCUGCUAUUUCCAAUCAAAUAAAAUAUAUGUAAUUAUAAUUGUUAUAUUUUUAAUUAUAUGCAAUUUUAAAUUAUAUUGUAUUUAGGGGCUAUUUGGUUGUAUGUUGUAAUUACAUGCAAAUACAAAUUCGAUAUUUAGUUUGAUGUAUUUAACUCCAACUACUGUAGUAUGAAUUGCAGGAGGAGGCCCAACUGCAGUAGUUCAAACUACCCUUCAAUUGGCCACAAUUCCAACUGCAGCAGUUGAAGAGAGUAACUUUAAACAAAAUAUAUGCUUACCUUCUUAAUUAUUUUUUAAACAAAAAUUAUUAUUAUUUUUUAUAUUAGAGCUAAUCUCACCAUCAUUUUAUUCUCAAUUGCAUGUAACCAAAACAAAUUAUUUAUAGUUACAAUGCUUUUUACUACAUCCAACCAAAUUGGAUGCAUAUAGUUAUAACUGUUGUAUUUUUUACUGCAUGUAUUUUUAAUUAUACUGUAUUUAUAAUUACAUCUAACUUAACGACUUCUUAGGUGUUAUUAUUCUUAGAUUAAAAAAUUGGCCUAUUUUUGCAGAAAAC
Molecule: long non-coding RNA, 2052 nt
Filed under: Ananas comosus (pineapple)
Lineage: Eukaryota; Viridiplantae; Streptophyta; Magnoliopsida; Poales; Bromeliaceae
Description: long non-coding RNA (ACOM_LNC017143)
Source: RNAcentral